AGCAGCGUGGCUUAGUGGCAAGAGCACUGGCUUGGGAGUCAGAUGAUGUGGGUUCUAAUCCCAGCUCUGCCA
Molecule: non-coding RNA, 72 nt
Organism: Ornithorhynchus anatinus (platypus)
Lineage: Eukaryota; Metazoa; Chordata; Mammalia; Monotremata; Ornithorhynchidae
Source: Rfam